This 434-nucleotide ribosomal RNA is filed under the name uncultured bacterium. Its description in RNAcentral is "partial 16S ribosomal RNA". It matches the Rfam family "Bacterial small subunit ribosomal RNA", at positions 29 to 507 of the family's 1533-position model. The record is from RNAcentral.
AGCGAACGCUGGCGGCAGGCCUAACACAUGCGAGUCGAACGAACCUUUCGGGGUUAGUGGCGGACGGGUGAGUAACACGUGGGAACGUGCCUUUAGGUUCGGAAUAACUCAGGGAAACUUGUGCUAAUACCGAAUGUGCCCUUCGGGGGAAAGAUUUAUCGCCUUUAGAGCGGCCCGCGUCUGAUUAGCUAGUUGGUUGAGGUAAUGGCUCACCAAGGCGACGAUCAGUAGCUGGUCUGAGAGGAUGAUCAGCCACAUUGGGACUGAGACACGGCCCAAACUCCUACGGGAGGCAGCAGUGGGGAAUCUUGCGCAAUGGGCGAAAGCCUGACGCAGCCAUGCCGCGUGAAUGAUGAAGGUCUUAGGAUUGUAAAAUUCUUUCACCGGGGACGAUAAUGACGGUACCCGGAGAAGAAGCCCCGGCCAACUUCGUG